Molecule: ribosomal RNA, 428 nt
Filed under: uncultured prokaryote
Also listed under: 1 other name
Description: bacterial SSU rRNA
Rfam family: Bacterial small subunit ribosomal RNA
Source: RNAcentral
UAGGGAAUUUUCGUCAAUGGGGGGAACCCUGAACGAGCAAUGCCGCGUGUGUGAAGACGGUCUUCGGAUUGUAAAGCACUGUUGUAAGAGAAAAACGGCCAUGAUAGGAAAUGAUCAUGGAGUGAUGGUAUCUUACCAGAAAGUCACGGCUAACUACGUGCCAGCAGCCGCGGUAAUACGUAGGUGGCAAGCGUUAUCCGGAAUGAUUGGGCGUAAAGGGUGCGUAGGCGGCGGGAUAAGUCUGAAGUGAAAGGCUGCAGCUCAACUGCAGUAUGCUUUGGAAACUGUUCUGCUGGAGUGCAGGAGAGGGCGAUGGAACUCCAUGUGUAGCGGUAAAAUGCGUAGAUAUAUGGAAGAACACCGGUGGCGAAGGCGGUCGCCUGGCCUGCAACUGACGCUGAAGCACGAAAGCGUGGGGAGCAAAUAGG